RNAcentral lists this ribosomal RNA (253 nucleotides) under uncultured bacterium. RNAcentral describes it as "partial 16S ribosomal RNA". It matches the Rfam family "Bacterial small subunit ribosomal RNA", at positions 524 to 776 of the family's 1533-position model. The record is from RNAcentral.
UACGUAGGGUGCAAGCGUUGUCCGGAAUUAUUGGGCGUAAAGAGCUCGUAGGCGGUCUGUCACGUCGGCUGUGAAAACUCGGGGCUCAACCCCGAGCCUGCAGUCGAUACGGGCAGACUAGAGUCCGGCAGGGGAGACUGGAAUUCCUGGUGUAGCGGUGAAAUGCGCAGAUAUCAGGAGGAACACCGGUGGCGAAGGCGGGUCUCUGGGCCGACACUGACGCUGAUGCGCGAAAGCCAGGGGAGCGAACGGG